RNAcentral lists this transfer RNA (88 nucleotides) under Planctomycetota bacterium. RNAcentral describes it as "tRNA-Ser". The record is from RNAcentral. Lineage: Bacteria; Pseudomonadati; Planctomycetota.
CAGCCCGGUGGUCGAGGUCGGGCCGUGGCGGCUGCUGAUCGCCGCGGCGUUCCUGUUCGCAGCGAUCGGCUGCGCCGCCGGGCUGGCC